GUUGUAUGGUUAAGUGACUAAGCGUACACGGUGGAUGCCUUGGCAGUCAGAGGCGAUGAAAGACGUAGUAACUUGCGAUAAGCCCAGAUUAGGUAGUAACAACCAUUUGAGUCUGGGAUUUCUGAAUGGGGAAACCCACGUGCAUAAGCACGUAUCCUUACCUGAAUACAUAGGGUAAGGAGGCGAACCGGGGGAACUGAAACAUCUAAGUACCCCGAGGAAAAGAAAUCAACCGAGAUUCCGAAAGUAGCGGCGAGCGAAAUUGGACUAGCCCUUAAGCUUUACACGCGUUAGACGAACGGUCUGGAAAGUCCGACGAUACAGGGUGAUAGUCCCGUAGUUGACGACGUGUGUUCAGUGAAAUCGAGUAGGGCGGGACACGUGAUAUCCUGUCUGAAUAUGGGGGGACCAUCCUCCAAGGCUAAAUACUACUGACUGACCGAUAGUGAACCAGUACCGUGAGGGAAAGGCGAAAAGAACCCCUGUGAGGGGAGUGAAAUAGAACCUGAAACCGUGUACGUACAAGCAGUAGGAGCAGGCUUUGUCCUGUGACUGCGUACCUUUUGUAUAAUGGGUCAGCGACUUAUAUUCAGUGGCAAGGUUAACCAUCUAGGGGAGCCGUAGGGAAACCGAGUCUUAACUGGGCGUUCAGUCUCUGGAUAUAGACCCGAAACCAGGUGAUCUAGCCAUGGGCAGGUUGAAGGUUGAGUAACAUCAACUGGAGGACCGAACCGACUAAUGUUGAAAAAUUAGCGGAUGACUUGUGGCUAGGGGUGAAAGGCCAAUCAAACCUGGAGAUAGCUGGUUCUCCCCGAAAGCUAUUUAGGUAGCGCCUCGGACGAAUACUACUGGGGGUAGAGCACUGUUAAGGCUAGGGGGUCAUCCCGACUUACCAACCCUUUGCAAACUCCGAAUACCAGUAAGUACUAUCCGGGAGACACACGGCGGGUGCUAACGUCCGUCGUGGAGAGGGAAACAACCCAGACCGCCAGCUAAGGUCCCAAAUUACUACUAAGUGGGAAACGAUGUGGGAAGGCUCAGACAGCCAGGAUGUUGGCUUAGAAGCAGCCAUCAUUUAAAGAAAGCGUAAUAGCUCACUGGUCGAGUCGGCCUGCGCGGAAGAUGUAACGGGGCUAAGUAGUAAACCGAAGCUGCGGCAAUGUGCUUUUGCACAUUGGGUAGGGGAGCGUUCUGUAAGCGGUUGAAGGUGUGUGGUAACGCAUGCUGGACGUAUCAGAAGUGCGAAUGCUGACAUGAGUAACGAUAAAGGGGGUGAAAAACCUCCUCGCCGGAAGACCAAGGGUUCCUGUCCAACGUUAAUCGGGGCAGGGUAAGUCGACCCCUAAGGCGAGGCCGAAAGGCGUAGUCGAUGGGAAACGGGUUAAUAUUCCCGUACUUCUUACAAUUGCGAUGGGGGGACGGAGAAGGCUAGGUGGGCCUGGCGACGGUUGUCCAGGUUCAAGUGCGUAGGCUUGAGAGUUAGGUAAAUCCGGCUCUUUUUAAGGCUGAGACACGACGUCGAGCAUCUACGGAUGUGAAGUCAUUGAUGCCAUGCUUCCAGGAAAAGCCUCUAAGCUUCAGAUUGUAAGGAAUCGUACCCCAAACCGACACAGGUGGUCGGGUAGAGAAUACCAAGGCGCUUGAGAGAACUCGGGUGAAGGAACUAGGCAAAAUGGUACCGUAACUUCGGGAGAAGGUACGCUCUCGACGGUGAAGUCCCUCGCGGAUGGAGCUAUUGAGAGUCGCAGAUACCAGGUGGCUGCAACUGUUUAUUAAAAACACAGCACUGUGCAAAAUCGUAAGAUGACGUAUACGGUGUGACGCCUGCCCGGUGCCGGAAGGUUAAUUGAUGGGGUUAGACUUCGGUCGAAGCUCUUGAUCGAAGCCCCGGUAAACGGCGGCCGUAACUAUAACGGUCCUAAGGUAGCGAAAUUCCUUGUCGGGUAAGUUCCGACCUGCACGAAUGGCGUAAUGAUGGCCACGCUGUCUCCACCCGAGACUCAGUGAAAUUGAAAUCGCUGUGAAGAUGCAGUGUACCCGCGGCUAGACGGAAAGACCCCGUGAACCUUUACUACAGCUUGGCACUGAACAUUGACCCUACAUGUGUAGGAUAGGUGGGAGGCUUUGAAGCACGUACGCCAGUAUGUGUGGAGCCGUCCUUGAAAUACCACCCUUGUAGUGUUGAUGUUCUAACGUCGACCCCUUAUCGGGGUUGCGGACAGUGCCUGGUGGGUAGUUUGACUGGGGCGGUCUCCUCCCAAAGAGUAACGGAGGAGCACGAAGGUGGGCUAAUCACGGUUGGACAUCGUGAGGUUAGUGCAAUGGCAUAAGCCCGCUUGACUGCGAGAAUGACAAUUCGAGCAGGUGCGAAAGCAGGUCAUAGUGAUCCGGUGGUUCUGAAUGGAAGGGCCAUCGCUCAACGGAUAAAAGGUACUCCGGGGAUAACAGGCUGAUACCGCCCAAGAGUUCAUAUCGACGGCGGUGUUUGGCACCUCGAUGUCGGCUCAUCACAUCCUGGGGCUGAAGUCGGUCCCAAGGGUAUGGCUGUUCGCCAUUUAAAGUGGUACGCGAGCUGGGUUUAGAACGUCGUGAGACAGUUCGGUCCCUAUCUGCCGUGGGCGUUGGAAGAUUGAAGGGGGCUGCUCCUAGUACGAGAGGACCGGAGUGGACGAACCUCUGGUGUUCGGGUUGUGUCGCCAGACGCAUUGCCCGGUAGCUAAGUUCGGAAUCGAUAACCGCUGAAAGCAUCUAAGCGGGAAGCGAGCCCUGAGAUGAGUCUUCCCUGAUACUUUAAGUAUCCUAAAGGGUUGUCGGAGACUACGACGUUGAUAGGUCAGGUGUGUAAGUGCUGUGAGGCAUUGAGCUAACUGAUACUAAUUGCCCGUGAGGCUUAACCAUACAACACCCAAGGGGUUU
RNAcentral lists this ribosomal RNA (2916 nucleotides) under Vibrio parahaemolyticus. RNAcentral describes it as "23S ribosomal RNA". It matches the Rfam family "Bacterial large subunit ribosomal RNA". The record is from RNAcentral. Lineage: Bacteria; Pseudomonadati; Pseudomonadota; Gammaproteobacteria; Vibrionales; Vibrionaceae.